CGCAAGAUUAAAACUCAAAUGAAUUGACGGGGGCCCGCACAAGCGGUGGAGCAUGUGGUUUAAUUCGAUGCAACGCGAAGAACCUUACCUACUCUUGACAUCCAGAGAACUUUCCAGAGAUGCAUUGGUGCCUUCGGGAACUCUGAGACAGGUGCUGCAUGGCUGUCGUCAGCUCGUGUUGUGAAAUGUUGGGUUAAGUCCCGCAACGAGCGCAACCCUUAUCCUUGUUUGCCAGCGAGUAAUGUCGGGAACUCCAGGGAGACUGCCGGUGAUAAACCGGAGGAAGGUGGGGACGACGUCAAGUCAUCAUGGCCCUUACGAGUAGGGCUACACACGUGCUACAAUGGCGCAUACAGAGGGCAGCCAACUCGCGAGAGUGAGCGAAUCCCAAAAAGUGCGUCGUAGUCCGGAUUGGAGUCUGCAACUCGACUCCAUGAAGUCGGAAUCGCUAGUAAUCGUAGAUCAGAAUGCUACGGUGAAUACGUUCCCGGGCCUUGUACACACCGCCCGUCACACCAUGGGAGUGGGCUGCAAAAGAAGUGGGUAGUUUAACCUUCGGGAGGACGCUCA
Molecule: ribosomal RNA, 570 nt
Filed under: Vibrio sp.
Lineage: Bacteria; Pseudomonadati; Pseudomonadota; Gammaproteobacteria; Vibrionales; Vibrionaceae
Description: bacterial SSU rRNA
Rfam family: Bacterial small subunit ribosomal RNA
Source: RNAcentral